GGGGGGGGGGGGGGGGGGGGGGGGGGGGGGGGGGGGGGGGGGGGGGGGGGGGGGGGGGGGGGGGGGGGGGGGGGGGGGGGGGGGGCUGAGGGCACGGGGAGCGGCCGGGCCGCCCUCAGAGGGGUCCCCGCGGCCGGGGCGGGCUCCGGAGGGGAAAGGGAAAGGAAAAAGGAAAGGAAAGGAAAAAGGAAAAGCGGGAGAAUCCCCGCGGGAGGGCCCCUGAGGGGCAGCGGGGCCCGGCUGUGCUGAGGUGGAGCAAGGCCAAGGACAGGAAUCCUUCAGUUGCCACGAUUUUUUUUUCCCUUGGAAUGCCAGGACAAGGGGGAUGGAUUCAGGCUGGAAAAGAGCAGGGUGCUGCUGGAUGAGGAUCCAAGCCCAAAUGCUGCUCUUUUCCAAGGAUUUUUGGGAUUUCUAAACUCUUCCCAUCAGCUGGAGCAGAACUCAGGUAAAAAGUGCUUUUAUUCCUUCAGAAAUCCCCAUUUAUCCCUUCCUGCUUUUCCUGGACUUGGCCCGGAAAACAGAGAGCUGGAAAAUCCCAAAGAGCUGUUGGAAAGCAUCAAGGGAAUGCUGAAAAUCCUUGAAAAAAAUCCUUGGAAAACUUGGUUUUAUUUAUAUGUUUUUGUAGGGCAGGAUGAAGAUAAAGUCUCAGCUGUGAACAUGGAAAAAUUCCAGGAAUGUGGAUGAAAACAGCAAGAAUUCCAUUGGGAAUGGGGCGGGAAAGGCUGGGUCUAACUCCAGGUAAAAAUUCCAAUUUUAGGAAAAUAUUUGGAUUUUUGGGGUGGAAUUUUAGGAUUGGCUGAGAAAUCCUUGAUGGGAAUGAAUAUUCCAAAUUUUUUUGAAAUGUUUGGGUUUUGGGAAUGAGGCAAAAUUUGAUCUGAGCUCU
RNAcentral lists this long non-coding RNA (883 nucleotides) under Ficedula albicollis (Collared flycatcher). RNAcentral's name for it is "lncRNA (ENSFALG00000022906.1)". The record is from RNAcentral. Lineage: Eukaryota; Metazoa; Chordata; Aves; Passeriformes; Muscicapidae.